RNAcentral lists this ribosomal RNA (1665 nucleotides) under Schizomida sp. MCZ IZ-126291 778.2. RNAcentral's name for it is "eukaryotic LSU rRNA". It matches the Rfam family "Eukaryotic large subunit ribosomal RNA", at positions 42 to 1869 of the family's 3401-position model. The record is from RNAcentral. Lineage: Eukaryota; Metazoa; Arthropoda; Arachnida; Schizomida.
AUAAAUAAGCGGUGGAAAAGAAACCAACAGGGAUUCCCUUAGUAGCGGCGAGCGAACAGGGAUGAGCCCAGCGCCGAAUUCCGCGUCCCAAAGGACGUUUGGAACAUGUGGCGUUUAGGAGGAAUCUCUCCGGAGGCAGACGGUGUCGCAAGUCCCCCUGAACGGGGCUGUGAUCCAGAGCGGGUGCGAGGCCCAUAGCUGGUACUGUCUCCUCCGGGUGUCACCUCCUUGGAGUCGGGUUGCUUGGGAGUGCAGCCCUAAUUGGGUGGUAAACUCCACCUAAGGCUAAAUACGUCCGUGAGACCGAUAGCAAACAAGUACCGUGAGGGAAAGUUGCAAAGAACUUUGAAGAGAGAGUUCAAGAGUACGUGAAACCGCUCAGAGGCAAACGGGUGGGCCCACGAAAGCCGAAGGCAGGGGGAUUCAGUCGAGAGGACGUUGGGGCAAGGCUGGCUGGUUUGACGGACCGUGCCAGGCCGGGUCAGCUCCCGAGACCCUUCGCCUCUCGACGCAUUUCCCUCUGCUUAGUAGGACGCCGCAACCCGUUGGUGCACGCAGCCAUAAGGGAGAGCGAUGGAAGGUAGCCAGUGAGCUCUUCUUCGGAGGCGCGAGCUGGUCCUAAGCCUGCUUUCCUGGUGCUUGUGGCCCGACGGUGGUCUCGAGUCCCUGAACGGGAUGUCGCCGAGCCCUUCUUGACCGAGCAGGGAGAAAUGGCAAGCUGCUUUCCGUGACCAAAAAACGGUUGCUCCACGCGUGCAGUGGACAACCUUCGGAAGCGGCUGUUGGUGCAUUUUCUCCUGCGCAGGGCACAGGCAGUUGGCGGCGAGUAGGUCGGUCACCCACCCGACCCGGACGAAAGGAUGAGAGUGCCCAGUGGGCCACUUUUGGUAAGCAGAACUGGCGCUGUGGGAUGAACCAAACGCCGGGUUACGGCGCCCGAUGCGAGACGCUCAUGAGACCCCAUGAAAGGUGUUGGUUGCUAUUGACAGCAGGACGGUGGCCAUGGAAGUCGGAAUCCGCUAAGGAGUGUGUAACAACUCACCUGCCGAAGCAACUAGCCCUGAAAAUGGAUGGCGCUCCAGCGUCGAGCCCAUACCCGGCCGCUGUGCCAGAUGUUGAGAAACUUAUGGCGCAGUGAGUAGGAGGGUUGCAGUAGUGUGCGUUGAAGGUGACGGACGUAAGUCCGCCUGGAGCCGCUACUGGUACAGAUCUUGGUGGUAGUAGCAAAUACUCAAGUGAGAACCUUGAGGACUGAGGUGGAGAAGGGUUCCAUGUGAACAGCAGUUGAACAUGGGUCAGUCGGUCCUAAGGAAUAGGAGAAAUCCGUUCCGAAGCGGGACGCAUAUUUGACGGAACUGUCCCGCCCGCUGACCGAAAGGGAAUCGGGUUAAUAUUCCCGAACCCGGACAAGGAGAUCGGCCCCUCGGGGUCAAGUGCGGUAACGCAACUGAACUCGGAGAAGUCGACGGGAGUCCCGGAGAGAGUUUUCUUUUCUUUGUAAGGGUUUGGCUCCCUGGAAUCGGUUCGUCCGGAGAUAGGGAUGCUAUUCCCGUAAAGCAUCGCGCCUCCUGCGGUGUCCGGAGCGCUCCUGUCGGCCCUUGAAAAUCCGAGGGAGAGAGUGUGAUUUUCUUGCCGGACCGUACCCAUAUCCGCAGCAGGUCUCCA